UGGCGAGUGGCGAACGGGUGAGUAAUAUAUCGGAACGUACCCUAGAGUGGGGGAUAACGUAGCGAAAGUUACGCUAAUACCGCAUACGAUCUAAGGAUGAAAGUGGGGGAUCGCAAGACCUCAUGCUCGUGGAGCGGCCGAUAUCUGAUUAGCUAGUUGGUAGGGUAAAAGCCUACCAAGGCAUCGAUCAGUAGCUGGUCUGAGAGGACGACCAGCCACACUGGAACUGAGACACGGUCCAGACUCCUACGGGAGGCAGCAGUGGGGAAUUUUGGACAAUGGGCGAAAGCCUGAUCCAGCAAUGCCGCGUGAGUGAAGAAGGCCUUCGGGUUGUAAAGCUCUUUUGUCAGGGAAGAAACGGUGAGAGCUAAUAUCUUUUGCUAAUGACGGUACCUGAAGAAUAAGCACCGGCUAACUACGUGCCAGCAGCCGCGGUAAUACGUAGGGUGCAAGCGUUAAUCGGAAUUACUGGGCGUAAAGCGUGCGCAGGCGGUUUUGUAAGUCUGAUGUGAAAUCCCCGGGCUCAACCUGGGAAUUGCAUUGGAGACUGCAAGGCUAGAAUCUGGCAGCGGGGGGUAGAAUUCCACGUGUAGCAGUGAAAUGCGUAGAUAUGUGGAGGAACACCGAUGGCGAAGGCGGCCCCCUGGGUCAAGAUUGACGCUCAUGCACGAAAGCGUGGGGAGCAAACAGG
Molecule: ribosomal RNA, 691 nt
Filed under: uncultured Oxalobacteraceae bacterium
Lineage: Bacteria; Pseudomonadati; Pseudomonadota; Betaproteobacteria; Burkholderiales; Oxalobacteraceae
Description: bacterial SSU rRNA
Rfam family: Bacterial small subunit ribosomal RNA
Source: RNAcentral